UACGUAGGUGGCAAGCGUUGUCCGGAAUUAUUGGGCGUAAAGCGCGCGCAGGCGGUCCUUUAAGUCUGAUGUGAAAGCCCACGGCUCAACCGUGGAGGGUCAUUGGAAACUGGGGGACUUGAGUACAGAAGAGGAAGGCGGAAUUCCACGUGUAGCGGUGAAAUGCGUAGAGAUGUGGAGGAACACCAGUGGCGAAGGCGGCUUUCUGGUCUGUAACUGACGCUGAGGCGCGAAAGCGUGGGGAGCAAACAGG
Molecule: ribosomal RNA, 253 nt
Filed under: uncultured bacterium
Lineage: Bacteria
Description: partial 16S ribosomal RNA
Rfam family: Bacterial small subunit ribosomal RNA
Source: RNAcentral